UUCGUCACACUAUCAUUAACUGAAUCCAUAGGUUAAUGAGGCGAACCGGGGGAACUGAAACAUCUAAGUACCCCGAGGAAAAGAAAUCAACCGAGAUUCCCCCAGUAGCGGCGAGCGAACGGGGAGCAGCCCAGAGCCUGAAUCAGUGUGUGUGUUAGUGGAAGCGUCUGGAAAGGCGCGCGAUACAGGGUGACAGCCCCGUACACAAAAAUGCACAUGCUGUGAGCUCGAUGAGUAGGGCGGGACACGUGGUAUCCUGUCUGAAUAUGGGGGGACCAUCCUCCAAGGCUAAAUACUCCUGACUGACCGAUAGUGAACCAGUACCGUGAGGGAAAGGCGAAAAGAACCCCGGCGAGGGGAGUGAAAAAGAACCUGAAACCGUGUACGUACAAGCAGUGGGAGCACGCUUAGGCGUGUGACUGCGUACCUUUUGUAUAAUGGGUCAGCGACUUAUAUUCUGUAGCAAGGUUAACCGAAUAGGGGAGCCGAAGGGAAACCGAGUCUUAACUGGGCGUUAAGUUGCAGGGUAUAGACCCGAAACCCGGUGAUCUAGCCAUGGGCAGGUUGAAGGUUGGGUAACACUAACUGGAGGACCGAACCGACUAAUGUUGAAAAAUUAGCGGAUGACUUGUGGCUGGGGGUGAAAGGCCAAUCAAACCGGGAGAUAGCUGGUUCUCCCCGAAAGCUAUUUAGGUAGCGCCUCGUGAAUUCAUCUCCGGGGGUAGAGCACUGUUUCGGCAAGGGGGUCAUCCCGACUUACCAACCCGAUGCAAACUACGAAUACCGGAGAAUGUUAUCACGGGAGACACACGGCGGGUGCUAACGUCCGUCGUGAAGAGGGAAACAACCCAGACCGCCAGCUAAGGUCCCAAAGUCAUGGUUAAGUGGGAAACGAUGUGGGAAGGCCCAGACAGCCAGGAUGUUGGCUUAGAAGCAGCCAUCAUUUAAAGAAAGCGUAAUAGCUCACUGGUCGAGUCGGCCUGCGCGGAAGAUGUAACGGGGCUAAACCAUGCACCGAAGCUGCGGCAGCGACGCUUAUGCGUUGUUGGGUAGGGGAGCGUUCUGUAAGCCUGCGAAGGUGUGCUGUGAGGCAUGCUGGAGGUAUCAGAAGUGCGAAUGCUGACAUAAGUAACGAUAAAGCGGGUGAAAAGCCCGCUCGCCGGAAGACCAAGGGUUCCUGUCCAACGUUAAUCGGGGCAGGGUGAGUCGACCCCUAAGGCGAGGCCGAAAGGCGUAGUCGAUGGGAAACAGGUUAAUAUUCCUGUACUUGGUGUUACUGCGAAGGGGGGACGGAGAAGGCUAUGUUGGCCGGGCGACGGUUGUCCCGGUUUAAGCGUGUAGGCUGGUUUUCCAGGCAAAUCCGGAAAAUCAAGGCUGAGGCGUGAUGACGAGGCACUACGGUGCUGAAGCAACAAAUGCCCUGCUUCCAGGAAAAGCCUCUAAGCAUCAGGUAACAUCAAAUCGUACCCCAAACCGACACAGGUGGUCAGGUAGAGAAUACCAAGGCGCUUGAGAGAACUCGGGUGAAGGAACUAGGCAAAAUGGUGCCGUAACUUCGGGAGAAGGCACGCUGAUAUGUAGGUGAAGUCCCUCGCGGAUGGAGCUGAAAUCAGUCGAAGAUACCAGCUGGCUGCAACUGUUUAUUAAAAACACAGCACUGUGCAAACACGAAAGUGGACGUAUACGGUGUGACGCCUGCCCGGUGCCGGAAGGUUAAUUGAUGGGGUUAGCGCAAGCGAAGCUCUUGAUCGAAGCCCCGGUAAACGGCGGCCGUAACUAUAACGGUCCUAAGGUAGCGAAAUUCCUUGUCGGGUAAGUUCCGACCUGCACGAAUGGCGUAAUGAUGGCCAGGCUGUCUCCACCCGAGACUCAGUGAAAUUGAACUCGCUGUGAAGAUGCAGUGUACCCGCGGCAAGACGGAAAGACCCCGUGAACCUUUACUAUAGCUUGACACUGAACAUUGAGCCUUGAUGUGUAGGAUAGGUGGGAGGCUUUGAAGUGUGGACGCCAGUCUGCAUGGAGCCGACCUUGAAAUACCACCCUUUAAUGUUU
RNAcentral lists this ribosomal RNA (2052 nucleotides) under Escherichia coli. RNAcentral describes it as "partial 23S ribosomal RNA". It matches the Rfam family "Bacterial large subunit ribosomal RNA", at positions 139 to 2215 of the family's 2925-position model. Lineage: Bacteria; Pseudomonadati; Pseudomonadota; Gammaproteobacteria; Enterobacterales; Enterobacteriaceae. The record is from RNAcentral.